RNAcentral lists this long non-coding RNA (819 nucleotides) under Pan troglodytes (chimpanzee). RNAcentral's name for it is "long non-coding RNA NONPTRT005693". Lineage: Eukaryota; Metazoa; Chordata; Mammalia; Primates; Hominidae. The record is from RNAcentral.
CAAAAGAUGUGUAAGACCCAUGCACUGAAAAUAUUGCUGAGAGAAAUCAAAGAUGACCUAAAUAAGUGAAGAGAUAUAUAUCCUCAUGGAUCAGAUGACUCAGUAAUAUUAAGCUGUUAAUUCUGUUACAGUUGAUCUACAGACUCAGUACUAUCCCAAUAAAAAACCCAGCAUGCUGUUUUUUGUGAAAAUAACAAAUUGAUUCUAAAAACAACGUAUGACAGCCCAAACAAUUUUGUAAAAGAAGAAGAAAGUUGUUGAAAUUGCACAAAUUUCCACAUCUAAAAAGCUCCAAUGAUCAAGAUAGCGUGGUAUUGGUGUCAAGAUAGACAAAUCGGAGCAGGGUGAAGAACAAGAGGCAAGAACGACCCCUGGACAGACCAACACCUGCGUGCCGUGCUGCAUCCCGCGCCCAGCGCCUAUGUCCCCCCGCUGUUGCCGCCACCACAGUGCCCAAGAGAAAGGCUGAAGGUGAUGCUAAAGCAGAUAGAGCGAAGAUGAAGGACAAACCACAGAGAAGAUCCACGAGGUUUUCUACUAAGCCUGCUCCUCCAAAGCCAGAGCCCAAACCUAAAAAGGCCCCUGCAAAGAAGGGAGAGAAGGUACCAAAAGGGAAAAGGGAAAAGCUGAGGCUGGCCAGGAGGGGAAUAACCCUGCAGAAAAUGGAGAUGCCCAAACAGACCGGACACAGAAAGCUGAAGGUGCUGCAGAUGCCAAGUGAAAAUUAGACCUUUACGAGAAGCACAGUUUUGUCUUCAGUUUCCUCUCCCCCCACCCGGAAUGGCCUGAGCCGAAGCCAGCUCCCUCCGAGAAGUCAUU